GCCUGGGUGGCUCAGUUGGUUAAGCAUCUGACUUCAGCUCAGGUCAUGAUCCCACAAUUCGUGGGCUCGAGCCCCAUGUCGGGCU
Molecule: transfer RNA, 85 nt
Filed under: Felis catus (domestic cat)
Lineage: Eukaryota; Metazoa; Chordata; Mammalia; Carnivora; Felidae
Rfam family: tRNA
About the family: Transfer RNA (tRNA) molecules are approximately 80 nucleotides in length. Their secondary structure includes four short double-helical elements and three loops (D, anti-codon, and T loops).
Source: Rfam by way of RNAcentral